Pezoporus occidentalis (night parrot) is the source of this 2163-nucleotide long non-coding RNA. RefSeq lists it as uncharacterized. The record is from RefSeq and is a predicted model, not a curated record. The transcript is spliced from 2 exons. Lineage: Eukaryota; Metazoa; Chordata; Aves; Psittaciformes; Psittacidae.
UACACCUGGAAUGAACAAACACUAUUAGGUGGGUGUUAUCGUCACCAAGAUAAACUUCAGUGUGUACAAAAGCAUCUCCCCAUCAAAUCACUCGAGAAAGCUCACUUUGUGAUGCACAUUUCUGAUUAAUUCAGAUUGAAGCAGUUGGCAAGCAACAUAGUACAAGCACCCAAGCCCCCUCACCUUCACUUUGAAAGGCCUAUGCAGACUUUCACUGCUUCCUACUCCCCUUAUAUAUAUAAUUUACUCCCACCUCCUCCACAGUUCUGCAUCUAAACCUCUUCCCUGAUGAUUUAUACAGGCAGUUUUCUGAAACUCUUCCACUCAUUGUCUUUGAGACAUCUUGCUGACAUUUCCUUUCUUACUUGUCCCCCAAAUGACUCCUUACAGAGUUUUUCUAAACUGGGUUACUUGCUAAAUGUAUUGUUUGGGUUAGUGCUUGUUUGACAGCUACCCCCUCUUACAUCCUUUCAGAACUCUGCAUUUUCAAGUUUGUUAGGGUAAAAUCCCUCUUUCUUUCUGUGUUAUUACAGGCACACACACUGCAUUAAAAAAUAAUAGCUGUUUAUUUAUGUGCAAAGCCACACAUGUGGAUAACUUAUUCCCGUAAGACUUCUACUUGCUUCCAGAAGCCAAGGUUGAGAAGAGGUGGCAUCAUACAGGAGCCCAAGCAGAGAUGAGGGGAUGGAGGAGAUGGGAAGAAGAAUAAAUAUGGCAAAGGACAAGACAAACCACUGAUCUGUGGCAACCACGGUAUAGGAGAGUGAAUGAAUAGACAAUAACAUGUUACAGCACCCUCUUGUGCAUCUGCCUCCUGGAGGACAGUUAUUGGAUUACAUAUUCCCUCUCGUCUCUAAACUGGCUGAUCAUUUCUCUGUAAUAUUCUCUUAAUACACGAUCAUGCAUAACAAGAUUACAACAGAACAUAAGAUUUGCCAGAGAUCCCCAUUGGCUGGAUGUUGAGUCAGCAUCAUCCUUACCGCAAACACGCUUGAUAACUUGUCCUCCUAAAAGACUUGUUACCAUAUAGAACUGCUGCUACUUCAGGAAUCAAGCAUUAAAUCAUGACGUAUGGUGUUGGAUGGCCUCAGAAUACAUUAGCAUGUUUCAGCCUCUUACCAAGUUCAUUUGUUCAGUGAGCAAGUGACAGAAGCUGAAAGCUACAUGCUCCAGAACCCACACUAGUUUUAUACUAAACAUGAACAUCUUUCUCAAGCUAUUUAUAUUCUGUAGAACAGCUUUAGCUUUAUCCAGUAAUUCUAAGUUUAACAGAUAGUGACAGCUGCUGUCUCAGCAAGAAAAUAAAACAAUGCUGUCUAGUUAAUUAAUUUUUAAUGCAGUGAAUUAUUAUUACAUUCAGACUAAACCACUUAAAUGGCAGACAGGAUCAGCGCUCAAGGACAGAUUACACUGGUACGGAUGCAUUUAAAAAUUAGCCCUAUUUACCUUUUAUCCAUCGUAUCAGAGCAGUGUUUUAACUUCUUUUCAGACUCAAAGAUCUAAUUUCUUUCAGAUCAUUAAUGCAGUACCACUACCCAUCAGUGAUGCAAGAGAAAAUGAGGUUUGUUUCACUCAACUGUUGUAAGACAGAUACAGCCACGGAAAGUUUCUCUUUUCUAGCUGUUGGUAGUACAAGGUACUUGCUCUGCAGCAUCUGUAACCUACUGCUCACCCCAGAACAGAAAAGCAGUUUCUACUGGCAUGAAACAAAGUGAACAUAAUAAUUGCAGCUGAUAUCAACAUCUUAUACACCUUAGGCCAUCAUUCUUGUGACCUGCAUAAUGACCUGCCUAAGGUGGACUUCUGUGGAUCCCCCCAACUAAAAUCAAUGUACUUGUGCAGACAGAGAUGCUAUGCAAAGAAAAUCAGCCUCACAACUCAAAGAAAACAUCUUGAGUUCACUGAAAUAACCUCCGUUUGCAGGAUCUAGACUCAAUUUCAUGCGAACCUAAAUCUGAAGAGCAAUCCCAGCUUUGCCUCUGUGUCUCACCUGGACUUUGUGAGAUGGAUCAGUGUGAAAAAUUCCCAAAAUAAACGCAUUGCCUUCAAUGACUGAAUUUCUGGUGCAGCAAAAACACUGUGCUGCGAUGAUGUGGGUUUCUUUUCUGAGUUAUGAGUCACGACAAGCAGAUGCCUAUUUGCUGUUGAUUUCUCGGGGUUUUU